Long non-coding RNA from Manis javanica (Malayan pangolin), 657 nucleotides. RefSeq lists it as uncharacterized. NCBI's taxonomy places the organism in Eukaryota, Metazoa, Chordata, Mammalia, Pholidota, Manidae. The record is from RefSeq and is a predicted model, not a curated record.
CCCCCCCCCCCCCCCCCCACCGCCCCUUCCUUCUCCCCCUUGUAUCCCCGAGCCUCGGUGCCGAAGCUGGAACCGCCAACAAAGCUGCUCGCUGGAAAUGUGGUUUGCGGAGUCGCAGCCAUGGCGUCGCAAGGCAUCGACAUUAAAUAGAACGUAGAAGCAUAUUGUGGAUACAGUGCAGGCUCUAUAUUAUUGGCACCGGGCACUUACUGCAGCAAGGACAGCUACCCAUGGUGGAGGCAGUACCUUGGCAUCAGUGAGGCGUGCACGUGUGUAUCCAGGAAAACAAUCUGUUUUCUAGCUACAUGCUGUUCAAACAUCUGCAUGUAGUGGUCGUGCGGAUAUGUGAUGGUGGACUUCAGGGGAUUCUUUGUAAAUCUGCGAUCACUACUCUGAUCCUUCUUUUCUGGUGUGGAAGCUGAGACUGGUUCAGAUGAGUUCACUGGGCUGGAUCAGGAAUGAGGACCAUUUCUCUCCCACAACUGUGAGCCAGACCUCUGGAGACACCAGAUCUUUAUUUGUGGAGAUACGGUUUUCAGCUAGUGUUGCUUUACCUCUGAGGAGAAAGCUGAAUUUUGGAGGAACGCUGUAAAGUGGCGGGAGCCAUGACAUUCAAGCUGUGUAGCAAAGCUCAGGCUGGAAGAAGACCCCCACAAA